AAAUUAAUUACUUCGGUGGGAGCUUAUAAUUCCCAAUCAGUUCUAGCUCAAAAAUGCAUGACCUGUGGGCUAUGGUCACCCCAAAUAUGAGUUGACCGGAAGUUCCGGCGAGUGUUUGUGUGUGUGUGUUGGUGCUCUUGGACAGAUCAAUGGACAAGAUGGAGGUGGCACUGGACUCCAGGAUGCAGUGCAUCAAGAUCCUGUCCAGUUCUAGCCAGAAAUGGAUGGUAGGUCACUCGAAAAACAGUUGACCGGAAGUUCCAGCGAAGGAUUGAGUGCUUUUGGACAGAUCACUGGAUAAAUAUGGAUGGAUAUGGAGCUUUUGCAAUGAUUACUGGAUAUAUAUACGAGGUGUCAUCAUUCAAGACUCCAGAGCACCGAAAACGUCUUCAGAAAAGAAAAAACGGUUUAUCUCUUAAUCAUGUUGUUAAUGGACUCAAGCAAAUAAAUAUGUGCGUACCUCUCGGACCGGACAAUUAAAAGCAGUGGUUAAUUAUUAACUAUUAAUUGAUUAUGCAAUGCAUAUAUGUACACAAAUACAUAUUAUAGAUCAUAGCCAAUAUAAAAAAGUAAUC
Long non-coding RNA from Drosophila biarmipes, 575 nucleotides. RefSeq lists it as uncharacterized. The transcript has 3 exons. The record is from RefSeq and is a predicted model, not a curated record. NCBI's taxonomy places the organism in Eukaryota, Metazoa, Arthropoda, Insecta, Diptera, Drosophilidae.